UACGGGAGGCAGCAGUGGGGAAUAUUGCACAAUGGGCGCAAGCCUGAUGCAGCCAUGCCGCGUGUAUGAAGAAGGCCUUCGGGUUGUAAAGUACUUUCAGUCGUGAGGAAGGUGUUAAGGUUAAUAACCUUAGCAAUUGACGUUAGCGACAGAAGAAGCACCGGCUAACUCCGUGCCAGCAGCCGCGGUAAUACGGAGGGUGCGAGCGUUAAUCGGAAUUACUGGGCGUAAAGGGCACGCAGGCGGUUAAUUAAGUUGGAUGUGAAAUCCCCGGGCUUAACCUGGGAAUGGCAUUCAAGACUGGUUAGCUAGAGUCUUGUAGAGGGGGUAGAAUUCCAUGUGUAGCGGUGAAAUGCGUAGAGAUGUGGAGGAAUACCGGUGGCGAAGGCGGCCCCUGGACAAAGGCUGACGCUCAUGUGCGAAAGCGUGGGGAACAAACAGGGAUUAGAUACC
This 453-nucleotide ribosomal RNA is filed under the name uncultured bacterium. Its description in RNAcentral is "bacterial SSU rRNA". It matches the Rfam family "Bacterial small subunit ribosomal RNA", at positions 340 to 786 of the family's 1533-position model. The record is from RNAcentral.